CCCUAAGUCAGUCUGUACGUCUUAAAGAACAGGGAAAGGCUGGCCAUCUGCCGUGUACUGCUGCUGCCAAAAUUCCUUGGAAUAUUAACAGCAAGACAAAGCCUAGCUGCUGGCAGUCUCCAUCUAGGAAGCGCCGGGGAGCACGAGUGAAAAGAUGCAAAUACAAAAACGGACUCUGCAAAUCAAUGCCUGGAACAAAAAGCUGAACGGGACUUCGAGAUUUUGAGAUUCUCAGGAAAGGAGAGCAGUGUGGAAAACAAUGGGUGGGAAGAUCCCUUCUCAAGAAGUCAUUUUUUCUACUCUCUUUCCUCAAGGGUCAGAUGGAAAUGUGCUGAAGGGGAAACAUCGGGUGAAAGGAGAUUCUCUGAGUUGGAAGGAAAGAGAGAACCUCUCCUGAAGGAAAGAAAGGAUCUGGGAUACCAAAGUCAGAGUUUUAAUACUGGACAGUAGACAGCAUUUCACACUUGGGCACACAAUGUGGGGAUAAAGAGGAGAACUAUCUGGGAACAAGAAGAAAGGACGUGCAUCAGGUUCUGGAGCCUUUCUGGAAAUGUACGAUAGAUGGUGAGCUCACUGAACCUCCAGGAAGGUUGCUGAUAUCCUGACCAGCAGCUGCACAGUUGCUAGUACAAACAUGCAAAGCAAGUUAGAGAGCAUUUGCAGCAAUAGGAUUAGUCCCUAC
Molecule: long non-coding RNA, 682 nt
Organism: Gallus gallus (chicken)
Lineage: Eukaryota; Metazoa; Chordata; Aves; Galliformes; Phasianidae
Source: Ensembl